This 231-nucleotide long non-coding RNA is filed under the name Nicotiana benthamiana. Its description in RNAcentral is "long non-coding RNA (NBEN_LNC000959)". The record is from RNAcentral. Lineage: Eukaryota; Viridiplantae; Streptophyta; Magnoliopsida; Solanales; Solanaceae.
ACACCACUCCUGCCCACCUUCAACAAUACAUCUGUGACCUCCCUCCUUCCAUCUCUGGCACCAGUUCAUUUUCCACUUGCUGCAAUGGCUCUGUUAGCACUGAACUGGUUGAGCUACAUCUUACAACCAAGCAGCCUCUGAUCCUGCUUGGCAGGCUGCCAUGACCACAGAAUUUGAGGCAUUGGCAGCCAAUAAUACAUGGUCCUUGGUUCCUCUUCCCCCUGGCAAGAA